GCCGCAUGGCCGCGGGAUUUCCGUAGGUGANACCUGCGGAAGGAUCAAUUAUACGUUACCAAAACACUCACACACUCACAAGAUGUGCGGAACAAUGUUUCGCUGGGUUUGUUGCGCUGCCGGGACAGGAUAUGCGCGCAGACCAUGCUAACCCGUGAUCAACACACAUCGCGUUUCUUUUUUUACAACUUUUAGCGAUGGAUGUCUCGGCUCAGGCAACGAUGAAGGACGCCGCAAAAUGCGAUAAGCUUUGUGAAUGGCAGAAUUCCGCGAAUCAACAGAACGCUGAACGCAUACUGCGCCUCCAGGUUAUUCCUGAAGGCACAUCUGAAUCAGGGCGUUUGUGUCAUAUUGUCGCAAUGUUCCAUCCUGUGAAUUUGCGACGUGCGUGUGCGUCAGCGACGACUUUCCGCUGGCGCAUGAAAUGCAAUCAAGGUGUUGGUCCGUGAACACUGGUGUGGUGCAGUAUCUGUUUCUUUCCAGUUUCACAUGGCCUGCUAGACUUGAGAAAGCUUUUUGUCCGCGCAUGAUUGCAGGUGAGAAUACCCGCUGAAUUUAAGCAUAUCAAU
Molecule: ribosomal RNA, 569 nt
Filed under: uncultured eukaryote
Lineage: Eukaryota
Description: eukaryotic LSU rRNA
Rfam family: 5.8S ribosomal RNA (bases 187-341)
Source: RNAcentral